GGGCCUAUAGCUCAGGGGAUAGAGCACUGGUUUCCGGUACCAGGUGCCUAGGUUCGAAUCCUAGUAGGCCCG
Molecule: transfer RNA, 72 nt
Filed under: Aneurinibacillus soli
Lineage: Bacteria; Bacillati; Bacillota; Bacilli; Caryophanales; Paenibacillaceae
Rfam family: tRNA
About the family: Transfer RNA (tRNA) molecules are approximately 80 nucleotides in length.
Source: Rfam by way of RNAcentral